RNAcentral lists this long non-coding RNA (435 nucleotides) under Panax ginseng (ginseng). RNAcentral's name for it is "long non-coding RNA (PGIN_LNC002620)". Lineage: Eukaryota; Viridiplantae; Streptophyta; Magnoliopsida; Apiales; Araliaceae. The record is from RNAcentral.
CCAGGUUCUCUAACCUUAACAUUACAAACAUACCCUUUAGUUAUACAAAAAGGGUUCACAAAACAACAUAAUAAUAAUAAUAUUCAUUAAACUAUUCCAGCAACAGGCCUUUGCCUUUGUUCUUCACAGCACCUUCUACCACUUCGUUCCUAGCUGAAAAGUUUUAUUUAGCAAGGUUGAGCAACAAAUUUGCCCCGCAAGUUAAGAUAUACAAUGAAUGUAUAAGUAUCAGAAUAAUAGACUAUCUAUUUUGAUAGAAUGACACCAAAGUUCGGGGAACUUUGAAAUAGCUAAACAAAUCGUUAAUCAAUAUCAAGUCUUCUCGUAUUCUAGGCAACACAAUAAUCUGAAAAUGAAAGAGUACAACGCUUUCAAAGUUUCUACGAUAUUUUAUUGAAUAAACAAGAAUCAAUUCUACGCAAUAACAAAGUGGAA